RNAcentral lists this ribosomal RNA (449 nucleotides) under uncultured bacterium. RNAcentral describes it as "bacterial SSU rRNA". It matches the Rfam family "Bacterial small subunit ribosomal RNA", at positions 29 to 506 of the family's 1533-position model. The record is from RNAcentral.
AUGAAUGCUGGCGGCGUGCCUAACACAUGCAAGUCGAGCGGUAACGGGUCUAGUUUACUAGAUGCUGACGAGCGGCGGACGGCUGAGUAACGCGUGGGAAUGUGCCCCAAAGUGAGGAAUAACUGCCCGAAAGGGUAGCUAAUGCCGCAUAUGAUCUUCGGAUUAAAGGAUUUAUCCGCUUUGGGAGCAGCCCGCGUUCGAUUAGGUAGUUGGUGAGGUAAUGGCUCACCAAGCCCACGAUCGAUAGCUGGUCUGAGAGGAUGACCAGCCAGACUGGAACUGAGACACGGUCCAGACUCCUACGGGAGGCAGCAGUGAGGAAUCUUCCACAAUGGGCGAAAGCCUGAUGGAGCAACGCCGCGUGCAGGAUGAAGGCCUUAGGGUUGUAAACUGCUUUUAUAAGUGAAGAAUAUGACGGUAACUUAUGAAUAAGCACCGGCUAACUACGU